Molecule: long non-coding RNA, 1310 nt
Filed under: Vombatus ursinus (common wombat)
Lineage: Eukaryota; Metazoa; Chordata; Mammalia; Diprotodontia; Vombatidae
Description: lncRNA (ENSVURG00010009256.1)
Source: RNAcentral
CUUGUCUGUGAAAUGGGUCUUAUACUCAACACUACAUGCCUUACAGGAUGGUAAUGAGAAAAGUGUUUUGUAAACCAUAAAGGGCUUUAGAAAUAUAAGUUAUUAUCAUGACAUUAGUAGGUUAAUAUAUCUUUCACUCCUUCUUAUCCCUUCUUUUUGGAGACAGAGACAGGGAUGUUGUUCUCCCUGAUCCAUGGAGGGCCAGAUCAAAGUGUGAGGAGGAACAGCCACAGAACCCAGAAGUUCUGCCCCCCACCCCCCNNNNNNNNNNGGGGGGGAAUGAUUCUUUUGCCAUUGAGGGAAAAAAUCCCCUUCUCAACACUUUAAAAAAAAAAAAGCCAAGGGACGGGUGGUGUUCCCGAUUCCAUACGGCGCUGUCCGCAGGUCAAGCACAGCUUGGCUCCGAGCAGUCUGCUCCAGUCCGGCCUCCCGGGCCUUGAUCGUUCUUUUCUUCAGUUCUCUCCCUCUUCGCUCUGCUUUUGCACCUCUGCUCGGCUCCCGGCUCUACUGUACCUCUGGGAGGUCACCAGGUCUGGACUAUUUUCCAUCCUGCAACUGCGAGUAUCUGUUCUAAGGCCUCAGGAAAAGUUGGGGGGUAAGGAUGGGGGUUCUCAGCCAAGGCACUUGAGGAGCCCCCAGGAAAGAGAUUUGCGAAAAAGCUGCCUUUGCCCAGUUUCUCCAUCAGCCAGCGGCGAGGUUUGUACAAUCCAGUGACGCAGAAGGGGUGGCCCAGGCAUCCCCUUCUCGGUCCCCGUAGCCUUCGGGAGUUGCCAGCAUCUUUUCCAUUCUCUUCCUAGCCGCAGCCAGCUCAGGGGCCCACCAGGCAGCGGCCCCGCACAAAUUUGGAGCUGUUGCUUACGCCACCACCACUAGGCUCUCUCCAGAUCCUACCCGGAGCUGCCGAAAUGCAAAGCCCCAGGCGCUGCCUCCUCCAGCAGCUUCCUGCUUCAGGUCUCACCCCCGGGGAAAGAGGAAGAGGCGAGAGUAAGAGCAGGCGGAGAAAAGGGGGUGGCGGCGGCCACGGAUUCAGUCUGGGAGUACCCCAGGCAAGAGGUGGGAAGAGAACUUCCUCUCUUAGCUCAAUUGAUGAGCAUGAGAAGAGAAUUUAAAAUGGAGAAGUGGUAGGGGAGCAGGCCAACUUUGGAGAGAAUACCAAAUGAUGAGGUAAGAAGCCAGACUGCAGAGAGUUAAAAGAGUGAGAGGCAGAAAAGUAGAAGCAUUGAUUGUAGGCAGCCUUCUUCUGGAGCUGAGCCAGUAAAGGGAGGAGAGGUAUAGAAUGAUAGCUAGGGGAGAUGAGUGGAUGAAUAGAG